Molecule: long non-coding RNA, 2169 nt
Organism: Ficedula albicollis (Collared flycatcher)
Lineage: Eukaryota; Metazoa; Chordata; Aves; Passeriformes; Muscicapidae
Exons: 2
Source: RefSeq, a predicted model, not a curated record
GGCUUUAUUAAAAGAGCUUAAACCUUAAAGUUACUGCACUGCAUAACUUGCAAGGAGGAAGGAUGGUAAGUGAUCUCAUGAAAAUUACUGAAUUAUUAAUGACUUUUAACAAAUCUUGGAACAAUGGAGAAAUCCUUGAGGAUUAAGAACAAAACAACUGAACAACUCCCAACCCAAAAUAUAUUUUUUCUCCUUCUCCAAAAAAGCCUCUCCAGGCCCCCAAAACAAACCAAAACAAAACUCUAGUGUGCCAGUACUUAAAAAUAGAAAAGCUGCGUGAUGAGUUUAAGCACAGCUUAGUCUGAAAUCUCACAGACACAUCAACAAUUGACAUUAAAGGGCACAAUAAGUAAGACCCAGCUAACAUGGUUUCACAGAGAAGAGUUUUCUGUAAAUAUUAUUCUUUAAUUAAUUACAAGUCUCGUUUGGUAAGUGUGGCUGCAUCUCCAGCAGUGUGGAUAGCAGGUGAGGGAGGCAAUUCUGCCUCUCUGCUAUCCUUGCCCUCAGAGCAGUGGAGCAUGGUUGCCAUAGCCCCAGUACAGCAGGAUGCAGGUGCUCCAGGACAGAUCUCUCCCAAACAAGCAGUGGACUGGCAGCAGUGCCACCACCUCAUACCAGCUUGAGCCAAUCCAGCAAACAAUCUGCUGUAAUGCUGAUGGACAGGGAUGGAUUGUUGGAGAAGGCCUUUUUUCCACGUGUCACUUUAGGUGGAGGAGUAUGUUACUGAAGUAACUACAAAACCCAAAUGGUCACAAAAUAUCCAUGUCUAGAGAGCAGGUCUAGUUCAUAACUCAUAAAUGACAGGAAACAGGACUCUAGACUGAAAACCUCUAUGAAAAACCUUCUUUAAUUCCUAGGUUUAUUGUACGGAGUGGGAACAUAGUGAAUGUUUGCUGCAAGUACAGCGCCGUGGAGUUCUGAAGAGAAAUCGCGAAGACAAUGGAGCAGCACCGGAGCAUGCAGGACAACCCUGCAGGCAGGCCGUGGGAGGAGGGAUGGUGCCAGGAACGCCACACACCUGACACACAUGAAACCACAUUCUUGCACUGGUGACAUUUUAUUUUGUUGUCUUUUGAUCUUGCCCAUCUCACUGCAGACUUUACACACCCUGCACAGUGCACACAUCUGCUUUCAGCACAGCACUUGCAAACGCAGUAGCACCUGGUUCCACAGGCAGUUCUUGAGACCACCUUGGCCCUACAGUAUUCCUCACUGUCAAGAACAAUGUGAUCAUGCUGGUAAUAACACAAAUGUACAAACCUGUCUGUUCCCCAGACACUGCAAUGGCUUCCCUGUGAAUUUCAGCACCAGCAAUUUUGUCAGACAGUGCAAAUUUUGCAAUUUUCUGGUACAGUGGGUCUUUGGAUAACAGAGAUUCUGGAGAACCCACUCUUUGAAAAAUAGGACUGCCCAUGCCGCUGCUUCCUGGUAGCCUCUAUGACAUCUGCAGCAUGUAAACACUGGAACAGGUUGCCCAGGAAGGCUGUGGAUGCCCCAACCCUGGUAGUGUUCAAAGCCAGGUUGGAAAAGGCCUUGAACAACCUGGUCUAGUGGGAUGCGUCCCUACCUGUGGCAGUGGAGGUUGAGACUAAAUGAUCUUUCAGGGAAGCCACCACUAACACACCUCAUUUGCACAGAGGUGUUACUGAAAAGAAACAGGUUAUGUAAGACAGUGAAGGUGGUAUCUGCCAAGCAGGGAAAAAGGACACUGUGGGAGCACUGGCAUGACCAAGAACCACACACUGGCAAGGCAGCUUCAUGGAACGUGGUCCCAGCACUAGCAGGCUGCUCAUGUAGGUAUGCACUGUCUUGUAGUGUUUCCCAGGUGAGCAUGAAACAAGUGGGCUUCAGAGUGCAUACAAAGGCCACCUCAUACAUCAUUUACUGGGGGCUCUCAAAGGCUGGUCAAUCAGCAGAGGGCUUGAGAGAACUCAGUCCUUGCAGCACUGGAAGACUUUCUACAAAUCUUUAAUGUCCAACAUUAUAGGAGACAGAUGCCAGGGGAACAGUGGGUUCCUGACAAGGAUAAUAAUGACCUUCUAUCCCUUCCAAGUAGAUGUGCUGCUGUCUGGUGCUGAGCCUAAACACUGGUGUAUGAAAAAAAGCCUUGUGCAAUACGAUGCAGCAAACACUGAGAAGUUCUUUUUAGUGGCAGCCUUGCUGACGAUA